GGGGCAGCGGGGAGGAAGCUUGCUUUCUCCGCCGGCGACCGGCGCACGGGUGAGUAACACGUAUGCAACCUGCCCCUGUCAGGGGGACAACCCGCCGAAAGGCGGGCUAAACCCGCGUACAUGCCACCGGGGCAUCCCGGAGGCAGGAAAGGCUUCGGCCGGACAGGGAUGGGCAUGCGGCGCAUUAGGCAGUAGGCGGGGUAACGGCCCACCUAACCGACGAUGCGUAGGGGUUCUGAGAGGAAGGUCCCCCACACUGGUACUGAGACACGGACCAGACUCCUACGGGAGGCAGCAGUGAGGAAUAUUGGUCAAUGGUCGGGAGACUGAACCAGCCAAGCCGCGUGAGGGAGGAAGGUACAGAGUAUCGUAAACCUCUUUUGUCAGGGAACAAAGACUGGGACGCGUCCCCGGAUGAGUGUACCUGAAGAAAAAGCAUCGGCUAACUCCGUGCCAGCAGCCGCGGUAAUACGGAGGAUGCGAGCGUUAUCCGGAUUUAUUGGGUUUAAAGGGUGCGCAGGCGGUCUGUUAAGUCAGCGGUCAAAGCCCGGGGCUCAACCCCGGCCCGCCGUUGAAACUGGCAGUCUCGAGUUGGAGAGAAGUAUGCGGAAUGCGCGGUGUAGCGGUGAAAUGCAUAGAUAUCGCGCAGAACUCCGAUUGCGAAGGCAGCAUGCCGGCUCCACACUGACGCUGAGGCACGAAAGCGUGGGUAUCGAACAGGAUUAGAUACCCUGGUAGUCCACGCAGUAAACGAUGAAUGCUGGCUGUCCGGGGGGACUGACCCCUGGGUGGCGAAGCGAAAGCGAUAAGCAUUCCACCUGGGGAGUACGCCGGCAACGGUGAAACUCAAAGGAAUUGACGGGGGCCCGCACAAGCGGAGGAACAUGUGGUUUAAUUCGAUGAUACGCGAGGAACCUUACCCGGGCUCAAACGGGGAGUGCCGCAGGCAGAGACGCCUGUUUCCCACGGGACACUCCCCGAGGUGCUGCAUGGUUGUCGUCAGCUCGUGCCGUGAGGUGUCGGCUUAAGUGCCAUAACGAGCGCAACCCCCGCGUGCAGUUGCUAACAGAUAACGCUGAGGACUCUGCACGGACUGCCGGCGCAAGCCGCGAGGAAGGCGGGGAUGACGUCAAAUCAGCACGGCCCUUACGUCCGGGGCGACACACGUGUUACAAUGGGUGGUACAGCGGGAAGCCAGGCGGCGACGCCGAGCGGAACCCGAAAUCCACUCUCAGUUCGGAUCGGAGUCUGCAACCCGACUCCGUGAAGCUGGAUUCGCUAGUAAUCGCGCAUC
RNAcentral lists this ribosomal RNA (1294 nucleotides) under uncultured bacterium. Its description in RNAcentral is "bacterial SSU rRNA". It matches the Rfam family "Bacterial small subunit ribosomal RNA", at positions 66 to 1350 of the family's 1533-position model. The record is from RNAcentral.